Molecule: ribosomal RNA, 262 nt
Filed under: uncultured Eubacteriales bacterium
Lineage: Bacteria; Bacillati; Bacillota; Clostridia; Eubacteriales
Description: uncultured Clostridiales bacterium partial 16S ribosomal RNA
Rfam family: Bacterial small subunit ribosomal RNA
Source: RNAcentral
AGUAAUGUGACUGAGCGGCGGACGGGUGAGUAACGCGUGGGUAACCUGCCUCAUACAGGGGGAUAACAGUUAGAAAUGACUGCUAAUACCGCAUAAGCGCACAGUACCGCAUGGUACAGUGUGAAAAACUCCGGUGGUGUGAGAUGGACCCGCGUCUGAUUAGCUAGUUGGCAGGGCAGCGGCCUACCAAGGCCGACGAUCAGUAGCCGGUCUGAGAGGAUGAACGGCCACACUUGGAACUGAGACACGGUCCGAGACGUCC